ACUUAUUUCGUAUGUGAUGCAACUACAAUGCUUGAGAGGUCUAGUGAUCGGUCUCAAAAGCAAGAUGGGAAUGGUCAAACAGAGGAAUCGAGAUAGAUGUCUGUCUCUGCCUCACCGUAAGGGUUUCCGGUUGAGCUGCCAUCUCUAUUGGCCUGUCCUGUGCCAGUCGAGGGCUUUAGCGGUGAUCAGGGCAUUCAUCCGUCGGAUUAGUCUAACCCGGUCAAUGCAUGGAUUUAUGUUCUCAGUAUGAGUUCUUUCUUUCUUCAUUGGGUGAGUUGGGAUUAGAAGAAAGUCUCCGUAGGUCCGCUACUCCCCUCUUCGUUCAAUCUUAACUAUGCCAUGCCAAGGGUCAUCGAAGAACUAACCUUUCUGCCUUUCCCUUGCCCGGGUCAAAGAAAAAAAGAAAAAUAUGUAACAUAACGGAAAUGACAGCUAAAAUAGCAACAUGAGAUAGGAGAGAGCUGACCCAGCAACGGCAUAGGAAAGAUGUGAUCCGGUAAUUUGUGUAAAAGAAAGAUGAUCAGGCACUAACACAGCUAUGGAAGUCCGAUUCUUCCUUGAUUUUUUCUCCCCUUUCGGUAUGCCGCUCUGCUCGCAGAGCGAAUGAACCAAAAUCCAACCUAAUAUGAAUAUCCUUCGACCGUUAUAUCCUCAUCUUUCCCAUAUUUUCCAACGAUGGUCCAUUCCUUUCCUAUUCCUCGCCACGAUCGUUUUGUUUUUUUAUCUUAUUUGUCUACAAGUUGACGUUCUCAACUUUUGCAUUUCCGUCCUUUCAAAAGUGGGGCUCCGUGUAGGGGGGCGCGCCCUAUUUUGCUUUUUCGGCUGCCACGGGAGUCUUACCUUAGCGAUCGCUUUUGCUUUUUGGGUGCUGACCGGAGAACCUUCCCUUAUUUGGAAGAUGAUGCCUUCCGGUGAAGGUACUUCGGGCACAAAGCUUCCUCUUUCCGUCGG
RNAcentral lists this long non-coding RNA (951 nucleotides) under Olea europaea (common olive). RNAcentral describes it as "long non-coding RNA (OEUR_LNC014885)". The record is from RNAcentral. Lineage: Eukaryota; Viridiplantae; Streptophyta; Magnoliopsida; Lamiales; Oleaceae.